CGCGUAGGCGGGCCAUCAAGUCCGAGGUGAAAUCCUCCGGCUUAACCGGAGAAUUGCCUUGGAUACUGGUGGUCUUGAGGGAAGUAGGGGUCUGCGGAACUUCCGGUGGAGCGGUGAAAUGUGUUGAUAUCGGAAGGAACGCCGGUGGCGAAAGCGGCGGACUGGGCUUCUUCUGACGCUGAGGCGCGAAAGCUAGGGGAGCAAACGG
Molecule: ribosomal RNA, 208 nt
Filed under: uncultured bacterium
Lineage: Bacteria
Description: partial 16S ribosomal RNA
Rfam family: Bacterial small subunit ribosomal RNA
Source: RNAcentral